Molecule: ribosomal RNA, 391 nt
Filed under: uncultured bacterium
Lineage: Bacteria
Description: bacterial SSU rRNA
Rfam family: Bacterial small subunit ribosomal RNA
Source: RNAcentral
GACGAACGCUGGCGGCGUGCUUAACACAUGCAAGUCGAGCGGUAAGGCCCUUUCGGGGGUACACGAGCGGCGAACGGGUGAGUAACACGUGGGUGACCUGCCCUCAGCUCUGGGAUAAGCCUGGGAAACUGGGUCUAAUACCGGAUAUGACUCCAUGACGCAUGUUGUGGGGUGGAAAGCCUUGUGCGGCUGAGGAUGGGCCCGCGGCCUAUCAGCUUGUUGGUGGGGUGANGGGCCUACCAAGGCGACGACGGGUAGCCGGCCUGAGAGGGCGACCGGCCACACUGGGACUGAGACACGGCCCAGACUCCUACGGGAGGCAGCAGUGGGGAAUCUUGCGCAAUGGGCGAAAGCCUGACGCAGCGACGCCGCGUGAGGGAUGACGGCCUGG